Molecule: ribosomal RNA, 440 nt
Filed under: uncultured bacterium
Lineage: Bacteria
Description: partial 16S ribosomal RNA
Rfam family: Bacterial small subunit ribosomal RNA
Source: RNAcentral
CCUACGGGAGGCAGCAGUGGGGAAUAUUGCACAAUGGGGGAAACCCUGAUGCAGCGACGCAGCGUGAGUGAAGAAGUAAUUCGGGAUGUAAAGCUCUAUCAGCAGGGAAGAAAAUGACGGUAACUGAGUAAGAAGCCCCGGCUAACGACGUGCCAGAAGCCGCGGUAAUACGUAGGGGGCAAGCGUCAUCCGGAUUUACUGGGUGUAAAGGGAGCGUAGACGGCUGUGCAAGUCUGGCGUUACAGGCGGGGGCUCAACCCCCGGACUGCUCUGGAAACUGUACGGCUGGAGUGCAGGAGAGGUGAGUGGAAUUCCUAGUGUAGCGGUGAAAUGCGUAGAUAUUAGGAGGAACACCAGUUGCGAAGGCGGCUUACUGGACUGUAACUGACGUUGAGGCUCGAAAGCGUGGGUAGCAAACAGGAUUAGAUACCCUAGUAGUC